Molecule: ribosomal RNA, 477 nt
Filed under: uncultured bacterium
Lineage: Bacteria
Description: partial 16S ribosomal RNA
Rfam family: Bacterial small subunit ribosomal RNA
Source: RNAcentral
GAUUAACGCUGGCGGCGUGCAUAACACAUGCAAGUCGAACGAUCAAACUUUAAUGAACCCUUCGGGGAGAUUUAAAGCGGCGUAUUGGCGAACGGUGGAGUAACUCGUUAGUAACCUGCCUUACACAAGGGGAUAGCCUUUUGAUACGAAGAAUAAUACCCUAUAACACCAUAAAAGCACAUGCAACUAUUUUCAAAGUGAUAGCGGUGUAAGAUGGACUUGCGUCUGAUUAGCUUGUUGGUGAGGUAAACGCCCACCAAGGGAAAGAUCAGAAGCCGGCGCGAGAGCGUGUACGGCACCCUUGCGACUGAGACAAGGCCCAAACUCCUCCGGGAGGCCGCAGUGGGGAAGUUUCAACACUGGGUGAAAGACUGAUGCAGCGACACCGCGAGAUUCAGAAGGCCUGCAGGUUGUAAAGAUCUUUUGUCUAGGCAGAAAAUGACAGUACUAUACGAAUAAGCCCCGGCUAAUUACGUG